CCCGUGUUCACCCGCUGCUCAGCUGGUGGGCUCAGCUGGCCCGGAAUAGCUUUGCUACACCAGGAACUGCGGGAGAUGGGAGCUGCCACUUGGUUUCCAAACCCAGUGGACUAGCUCUUCCACCACACAGGGCUGUGGGGGAAGCCGGGGCUGCGUUCACCAGCUGCCCACUCACUCAGCUCCUCUUUACUGAGCAGGGGUUUAGGGUGGAGGAACUGGUUCCGCUGCCUGGCUGCCCACCCAGAAGAGGUCAUCUGCACGGAGCUGCCACUUGGCUGUCGUGCCCACUGGAAUGAUCUUCCCCAACAUGGAUCUGGUAUCACCAGGAAAAGAGGGGAGAGUGGCCGCAGCCAGUCUCAGGUCUGUGUAAAAACUUGCUGGAGAUGGUGCAGUGGUGGCCAAGCCCUUUCUCGGGGAUCGAGCAGUCUGAAUAAGGUGAAGCAUGCGAUCAGAGGAACCUGAGAUCAAAGGCGUCUCCACAGGAGGACUUGCCGAAGGUGGGGCAGGAAGCCGUCCUUCAACAGUGACAAACAACACCGCUAUCGUCUCUGCAAACCCAGAAUGAUUAAUAGGUUUACCUCAUUCAUCCCCUCAUCUGACACAGAUCAUUUGCUUAUUAAGAUCUGCCCUGGGAAAAGCUCGCAGUGCCUAUUUCAAAUGUCAGCUUAAGAUGACUGUUCAGUUGUGAUCCAGAACUUUAACGGCCCCUGCACAUUGCCUCUCAUCUCUGUGUUGUCCUUGAGCUCACCCUCCCUGCCCACGUGCAUUCUGAACAGCAAGGAUUUCUGGCUGGACUUGUUGUUUGGGUCAAGUUCAGAGAGUGUUCUUGGUUUCUUUCAUCAUCUAAUAAAGACGAGGGCGGAGGUCGGGGGAAGCACGUCUUAGAGAUGAAGGGCAAAUUGAGAUCUUUGGUUCAAAGACUGUGGCUCCAUCACUUUCUCUGACUUAGAAAUCGUAUUCAUCCCGCGCUUCCUACUGCAAAUCACUCUGGUGCGACGUGACAAUGCAGCAGAUACACCAGGACUUUUCCCACAUCACACUACAAACACAGCCACCCUCUCUGGGGAACCUAAGAGAAACUUUUGGGCUUCCACUUCCCCUCCAUUUGUUUGAAGGAUCAAGAGAACACAGUUCCAUUUUCAACAAAAAUUAAAAAGGAAAAUCAUGAAAAGAGCCAACCUCCUUUUUUUUUCCUCUCUUAAUAUAUUGUUGCAUCCAGAGAAGAGGAAACAGUGAGCGCCACUGAUACUGGGUCCCCAGAGAUCCCAUAAGGGUCACUCCCCAGCUGUCACAUGAGCGUGCUCUUCCUCCACUUGCAGAGCAGAUUCGUAACGGGACUGGAAGUUACUCUUGGCUCAGCUCUGCGGCGUAAAGAAAUGAAAAGCCACAAUGCUUCAGGGACCUGGGCUGUGCCCACACCUGGGGUUUCACAGGCAGGACAGUUUUCAGCUUUAAGGCUUUGGAGGUUUGGAGAAAGGAGAUUUGAAAAACUGAGAGCGAUGUUCCUGCUGUCCUCCAUAGGCCUGCUAAGAGCUGUGAGCUCCAAAGGGCGGGGACGAACUCCUUCCACACGUUUUUGUUUUUAUUUCUUCUUGAGGAGCUGUCUACGGGGCCAUAGGCCAAUUCACUUGAGGACUCAACAUGUGACAGCAUGUCGUUUCUUCUGCACUGUUGCAAAAUGACAUGUGCCCUGAAUAAAAUUUUCCAGAUUACUGGACUGUCCCCCUUUGUGAACCGAAUAGCUUAAAAUGAAAAUGUAGUUGGAGUGCACGUAGUGAAUAAGUGUGGCAGAGACGAUUAACUGCUCUUUGAGCAUGCGACGUCAUUAUCAUGAACAUGUAUUAUUUUCCUGGCUGGAUGGAGACGUCCUCAGGGUCUAUGGAGAUGAAAAGGACUCUUUGCAGCCUCACCUUAUGGUCUCGAAGUCCUGGCCUCCUUCCAUUGGUUUUCUGAUUUCUAACUCUGCGCUCACUUGUCUUCAGUAUGCCAUUUCUUCCCAGGAUCUGUGUCUGAGAAGGUUCAUUGUCUUUUCAGUCUCGACUACUUACUUCUUCACCAAGUAUCACUCAGAACAAAACUGAGAGAAGCCAGAUGGACUUAAUUCCACAUACAUUACUUGGUCAAUAUGCUCUCUUGCCAGCCGAGUAAGGAGCAGGAGUUUUAUGAUAGCUGUAAAAAUCUAAUUUAUCCCUUCUGUCAUUAUGUGAGGAGGUGGACUUCAUGGCUCCUCAUUUAUUUUGUACUUAGAAAAAUAUGCAUUUAUCUUAUUAUUAAAAUUUGCCUUCGGUAGAACAAGUUGGUUGGACCUCCAAAACAGAAUGUGACCCAUCCAUUUCUAACUUGUUUGCUGCCUCCUUAACCCGGGCCAAUAUCAUCUCUCACAGACUAUUGAAACUGCCUCUUAAUGGUCUCCCAGCAUCAUCCUGGGUUCCUUCCAACCCCUCCUCCACACUCAAGUCAGAACGAGCUUUAGAAAGUGUGAAUCUCUUGUUCCACCCAUGCUCAGUGGCCUUCCACGUCAGCCACACCUUGCACCACUCCCUCUCCUGCGGCGUUCUGCCGAGUUGUUUUCUCUCCUUGGCCACACUCCCAUGGACAUCUCUGCCCAGUGUGGCACAACUCUGAUGGGCAAACCUUGCCCCCUCAGCUGCCCGUCACGUUGGGUGAGGCGUGGUCAGGCCUGCGUCACAGUUCUGCACCAAUCUUCCUUCAUCCCCCUUCUCUUCGCUGGCACUAAUCCCUAAUAAACACCUCACACCUGAAUCUGUCUCAGCACCUCCUUCCAGAGAACCCAACCCGCUACAGCCUAUACGCUUUGAAGGCACGGGAGGAACUUGCCAGCCAGGUCACUGGAGCAAGUUAGUUCACUCUCCUGAACUCCACUUCCUUGUCAGUGAACAGAGAUGAGAUUUGCUUCUCAGGGCUGU
Molecule: long non-coding RNA, 2927 nt
Organism: Equus caballus (horse)
Lineage: Eukaryota; Metazoa; Chordata; Mammalia; Perissodactyla; Equidae
Source: RefSeq, a predicted model, not a curated record